GCGGUUCAAUUAUUGGAGACAAUGAACAAAGGGCACCUCACCUACAUACAGACUUUGUAGGUGUUUAAGGCUUUUGUUUUAGUUAUUUUGUGUCUUUCUGGUCAAUUUGUUUCUCUUUGUAGCCAAGUUGAUUUCUUGUAAUUGAAAAACGUUUUGGUCUUUUUAGUUGUUUUUAUUGUCUAAGGUUGUUCUGCCACAUUCUGUAGUUGUUUUGUGUCUCUGUGUGGUUGUUUUGUGUCUCUAUGUGGUUGUUUUGUGUCUAUGUGGUUGUUUUGUGUCUCUAUGUGGUUGUUUUGUGUCUCUAUGUGGUUGUUUUGUGUCUCUAUGUGGUUGUUUUGUGUCUAUGUGGUUGUUUUGUGUCUCUAUGUGGUUGUUUUGUGUCUCUAUGUGGUUGUUUUGUGUCUCUAUGUGGUUGUUUUGUGUCUAUGUGGUUGUUUUGUGUCUCUAUGUGGUUGUUUUGUGUCUCUAUGUGGUUGUUUUUAUGUGACAAUAUACAUACAAUCCUUUUAGACUUAAAGUCCUUCUUCAUAGGAAAUAACUUGAAUAAAUUUAG
Molecule: long non-coding RNA, 553 nt
Filed under: Cottoperca gobio
Lineage: Eukaryota; Metazoa; Chordata; Actinopteri; Perciformes; Bovichtidae
Description: lncRNA (ENSCGOG00000004777.1)
Source: RNAcentral